CGAGUGAAGCGGCAAGAGCUCAAAUUUGAAAUCUGGCUCCUCCGGGGUCCGAGUUGUAAUUUGCAGAGGAUGCUUCGGGUGCGGUCCCCGUCUAAGUACCCUGGAAUGGGUCGUCAUAGAGGGUGAGAAUCCCGUCUGGGACGGGUGGCCGUGUCCGUGUGAAGCUCCUUCGACGAGUCGAGUUGUUUGGGAAUGCAGCUCUAAAUGGGUGGUAAAUUUCAUCUAAAGCUAAAUAUUGGCCGGAGACCGAUAGCGCACAAGUAGAGUGAUCGAAAGAUGAAAAGCACUUUGAAAAGAGAGUUAAACAGCACGUGAAAUUGUUGAAAGGGAAGCGCUUGCGACCAGACUCGCCCGCGGGGGUUCAGCCGGUACUCGUACCGGUGUACUCCCCCGUGGGCGGGCCAGCGUCGGUUUGGGCGGCCGGUCAAAGGCCUCCGGAAUGUAUCGCCCUUCGGGGCGUCUUAUAGCCGGGGGUGCAAUGCGGCCAGCCUGGACCGAGGAACGCGCUUCGGCUCGGACGCUGGCGUAAUGGUCGUAAGCGGCCCGUCUUGAAACACGGACCAAGGAGUCUAACAUCUACGCGAGUGUUCGGGUGUCAAACCCGUCCGCGCAGUGAAAGCGAACGGAGGUGGGAACCCCGUACGGGGUGCACCAUCGACCGAUCCUGAUGUCUUCGGAUGGAUUUGAGUAAGAGCGUAGCUGUUGGGACCCGAAAGAUGGUGAACUAUGCCUGAAUAGGGCGAAGCCAGAGGAAACUCUGGUGGAGGCUCGCAGCGGUUCUGACGUGCAAAUCGAUCGUCA
Molecule: ribosomal RNA, 801 nt
Filed under: Paecilomyces maximus
Lineage: Eukaryota; Fungi; Ascomycota; Eurotiomycetes; Eurotiales; Thermoascaceae
Description: Paecilomyces formosus partial large subunit ribosomal RNA
Rfam family: Eukaryotic large subunit ribosomal RNA
Source: RNAcentral